This 64-nucleotide transfer RNA is filed under the name Ammophila sabulosa. RNAcentral describes it as "tRNA-Leu". Lineage: Eukaryota; Metazoa; Arthropoda; Insecta; Hymenoptera; Sphecidae. The record is from RNAcentral. RNAcentral also lists the same sequence under 1 other name.
AUUAAAAUAGCAAAAAAGUGCAAUGGAAUUAAACCCCAUCUAUGAGAAAAUUUCUCUUUUAAUA